This is a non-coding RNA of Thermoplasmatales archaeon, 74 nucleotides long. Lineage: Archaea; Methanobacteriati; Thermoplasmatota; Thermoplasmata; Thermoplasmatales. The record is from Rfam.
GGGCCGCUAGCUCAGUCUGGAAGAGCAACAGGCUCUUAACCUGUGGGUCGGGGGUUCAAAUCCCUCGCGGCCCG